UGUUAUACCCUCUUUGUGCCUUGUGGGAGCAGGUGGAAUGCCACCAGAAAAGCCACUCUGAAAGUGAGUAGGAGUCCGUGGCUAGCCACAGGCGCUCAGAAACCCUGAGCUUGAGGUGUCUCUCUUGCCAAGUGGUGGAAUCCUGGAAUCUAGAGUGGGCUUUGUUAAGAAACAAACAAACAAACAAAAAACAGUUAAGCUUGUCAAAUGGCCUGUUGGUUGGCAGAGCUGUUUCAUUUUCUGGGAGGGGGUUUGGAGGGGAAGGUUCCUUUGAGGCUUUUGACAGCACCAGCUAAGUGGUUUUCUUCUCCUCCUCCUGUUCCUUUUUCUCCAUAUUCUCCUCUUCCUCCUCUAUCUUCAUUUUUUUUUUAACCUAGUGCAAGAUUCUUCUUCGGUACCACUGCCCACAUUCCUGGUUGCUGGAGGGAGCCUGGCCUUCGGAACGCUCCUCUGCGUUGCCAUUGUUCUGAGGUUCAAGAAGACGUGGAAGCUGCGGGCUCUGAAGGAAGGCAAGACAAGCAUACACCCGCCGUACUCUUUGGGGCAGCUGGUCCCGGAGAGGCCUCGACCCACCCCAGUGCUUGUU
RNAcentral lists this small RNA (586 nucleotides) under Pongo abelii (Sumatran orangutan). RNAcentral's name for it is "retained intron". Lineage: Eukaryota; Metazoa; Chordata; Mammalia; Primates; Hominidae. The record is from RNAcentral.